Molecule: long non-coding RNA, 2338 nt
Filed under: Gallus gallus (chicken)
Lineage: Eukaryota; Metazoa; Chordata; Aves; Galliformes; Phasianidae
Source: RNAcentral
GGGCAUUCCUUGCAAAGAAACUCUGUCAUAGAUGGUGCCAGUUUUCUUUGUCCUUUGUGGUCCACAGUACCUUCAUAUGCCACAGUCACAUCAUACACUGCAUCCAGAUAGUCUUUCAUUGUGUCGAUUGCUACGUGAGUUGCCUUCACACGUGGCGUUAGCACAUGCUUCAAUACAGCAAGUCCUUCUUUUUCAGCAAAUGAUUGACUGUCUGCAAUGACUUUUGGUAUCUCUGGAUUGUAACGAGUCCCCUCUGGAAAAAUCACUAAAUACAUCGGAGUCUCAGCUUUCAUCUGGGCCCGCAACUUUGCUCUCAUUUCUUUUUCAUUGAAUUUGGCACUUCUUUUUACAUAGACUCCUCCAUGCUGUGAAAAAUACCACCCGUACAAUGGAAGCCACUUUAAUCCAUCUUUCAAAACAUAUCGGACAUGCCCAAGUGCAUUCUGCCUAAUUGCCAACAUGUCCGCAAUGAUCCAAUCAACUGUACACUGAUGAUUUGAUAAAUAUAUUAUAUUUUCUUUAUUUUUUGGCAAGUCCCCAUAGAUUAUUACCUGCACGCCCGCGUAGUUCUCGAAGAAGAAGAGCACCAUGCUCUGGUAGAUGGUGUAGAGGCGGUCGUCCACCUCCCGGUAGAAGCGGGCGGGGAGGACGGCGGAGAGCAGGCGCCAGGCGCCCCAGGCCAGCACGUAGGUGGGCGCCGUGCCCAUCAUGACGGCGGCGGGCAGGAAGUAGCGCAUGGAGUAUGUGUGCAGCACCAGCGACAGCAGCAUCUUCCCGCUCGCUCCCGGCCUCACCGGGACACCCACAUGGGCAACGCACUCAGACACGGCCCGCCGGGCCCGCCGGCCCCAUCGCCGCCGCGCUGGGCAGAGCAGAGCCGCCGGGCGGGAGGCGGGGGGGGGGGGAUCAGCAGUAGCGGCCGCCCCCAGCAGGGAGGCGCGGAGCGGGCACCGGCUCACAGCUCCCCUAACGCCGCCUCCGCCACCAUAUUGCCCGGCCGGGGGAGGAGCCGCGCCGGCAGGAAGGCGGCCCCUCGUUGCCUGCGGGGAACUUCCGGGCCGGCCGGCCGGGCGCGGGGUGGCUCUGACCGGGUGGUCCCACAGCCUCUACCGCGGGUGUGUGAGGUGGCUGCGGCAGCCCCGGCCCGAGGGAGCCGUGCUGGAGGCGUGUCCGGCGGUGCAGCGAGGCGCUCGCCUCGUGAGCUGCAAGGAGCGUUCAUUUAAAUGCAGCAUGGUGUAAUUGAAGCCAGCUUGGGUUUUUUCACCCUCUCGUUUUUGCGGCACUAAGAACAGAUGUGUCACUUUCAGCGCCUCCGCGCGCAUUCGUAGCCGUUGUGCAUCUCCUGUCCCCUCACGUUCCAGCUCGGGCCCCCAGUAGCUCUGUAAGAGCAGCCCCGAAAAUGCAGAAAUGCAAUAGGUCCCCUAGAAAGCAGCUGUGUCUUCUCCAAGAGGAAGCUUAGUAUGAAACCUUCUCUGCAGUGAGAUCUCGCUCAUUUUCCAUGCUUCAUAGUUUUUGUAUUUCUAACAAAACGCUUCACUUUCCCUGCUCCAAAAGGAGGUGAUGGCGGACUUUCUGCCGGUCCCCAUCGGUGUUCACAUAUCUGUCCCCAGUGAAAAUAUCACCCCGUCUCGGGACUACCAGGAGAGGCGCUUUCCCCAUCAUGGCCUCUUUUGGCAGGCGCUUGUGAGCUAUAAUCCAGGCAAUCCUACACUGGCUAGAUGGAAAAUUGAGGAAGGAGCUCCUGUUUUGCACUGCCUACAGCAUGGCCACAUGGAAGAGAAAGCAAUUCACCACAAUGCAGGAUGGAGAAAGUAGUCCAAGUCAGUACAGAGCAGGUAAAGCUAGGGCCAGGAAGACACAAUGAGGUGUACAUGAACAAACACUCUUGUGCAACUGGAAUGGUGGGACAGGCUUGGGAGGAUCCAGACAUGCUGCUUCACAAAGGAGACUGCGGAGAGGCUAGGUUUCAGGGCAACGAGGUGUGCUUGGCUAAUUACACUGCAGUUAAAAGUAGAAAAUAAUGUGAGCUGGAAUUGGGAAAUGGCAGAGGGUUGGGAAAAUGUGGGGAAAUUCACCUGGCUGAACUUAAAGGCAGACUGUGAGCUUGUGAGAUGGGAUUGAAGUCUCAAGUGAACAGGCUGAAAAUCUGUGUUAGAGUGAAGAGAAUGUGAAAGGAAUAUAAGCAUUUGUAUGAAGGAAUGAACUUGUGACGUCUGAUUCUGUAUACAUACAAUCGUAUCUUUCCUUCCAGGGCUACUGUGAAGAUAAGUUCACUCAUACUUCUGAAAAACUUAGGUAUUAUUAAAAAAAUCUGCGGAAAUGAACAAUUCUGUCGCUG